AUUGAACGCUGGCGGAAUGCUUUACACAUGCAAGUCGAACGGCAGCACGGGGCAACCUGGUGGCGAGUGGCGAACGGGUGAGUAAUACAUCGGAACGUGCCCAAUCGUGGGGGAUAACGUAGCGAAAGUUACGCUAAUACCGCAUACGAUCUACGGAUGAAAGCGGGGGAUCGCAAGACCUCGCGCGAAUGGAGCGGCCGAUGUCAGAUUAGGUAGUUGGUGGGGUAAAGGCUCACCAAGCCGACGAUCUGUAGCUGGUCUGAGAGGACGACCAGCCACACUGGGACUGAGACACGGCCCAGACUCCUACGGGAGGCAGCAGUGGGGAAUUUUGGACAAUGGGCGCAAGCCUGAUCCAGCCAUUCCGCGUGCAGGAUGAAGGCCUUCGGGUUGUAAACUGCUUUUGUACGGAACGAAACGGUUCUCUCUAAUACAGGGGGCUAAUGACGGUACCGUAAGAAUAAGCACCGGCUAACUACGUG
RNAcentral lists this ribosomal RNA (482 nucleotides) under uncultured bacterium. RNAcentral describes it as "bacterial SSU rRNA". It matches the Rfam family "Bacterial small subunit ribosomal RNA", at positions 30 to 507 of the family's 1533-position model. The record is from RNAcentral. RNAcentral also lists the same sequence under 1 other name.